UCUUAUUGUUCUCUCUCGAAAAGUCACGCAAACAACGACGACGUGCCGGCGUUCGAAAUGCGAAGGUAUUUCAGGGACGCGACUUUGGUCGUCAACCGACGAACAGCAGUGCUUCGCGUGCAUGCCGGAGUUCUAUCUCAGUGUCGAACGACGCUGAUUGUCGCCCCGGAGUUUCUGCAAAGGCGCACGUACUACCCCGCCCCCGGGACCUAUCCUCCGCCGCCGCCACCGCCGCCGCAAUCACACUACGUGCAACCUCUGUGGACCCCGUAUAAUGCCACGUAUAUGGCUCCUCCACCACCCCUGCCACAAGGGGGUAUGUCGUAUGGGCAGCCACAACAGCAGCCGCUCCCAAGCGAUCUGGGCACGAAGGAAAGACCGAUUGUGGUUGUGUCAGCCCCGCAGAAGGCUUCCUGGGCCACCCGCUUCUGGAUGUUCUUGCUCUUCGGGAUUGCUCUUAGCUGCUUCAUCAGCCUGGUCGAGGAGUUCAACGAUCGCUUUCAGGAGGGCCAGCCUGCAAACAAGUCAGGAUUUGCGCGCUCUGGCAUAUCUGGCCUGUUCGGCUCUGUCGACGUGAAGCCGGUGAAUCUGGACAACCUGGAGGUCACAUUUGACAGCAUCCGCGGAUGCGAUGAGGCGAAAAAAGAGCUGGAGGAGAUUGUUGAGUUUCUAAAGGACCCCGAGAAGUUCUACAAUUUGGGUGGGCGGCUGCCAAAAGGAGCGCUGCUCACCGGUCCGCCAGGGUGCGGGAAAACCAUGCUAGCAAAGGCGAUUGCCAAAGAGGCUGGCGUGAGCUUUUUCUACGCCACGGGAAGCGAGUUCGAUGAGAUGUUUGUUGGCGUCGGCGCCCGCCGCGUUCGCGAACUUUUCGCGGCCGCAAAGGCCAACUCACCAGCUUUGAUUUUCAUCGACGAGGUAGACGCAUUAGGCGGUCGCCGCUCUCGUUCUGACCACAGCACCUCUCGCAUGACGUUAAACCAGCUCCUGGCAGAGAUGGACGGCUUCGACUCCGACGAGGCCGUUAUUGUCCUCGCCGCCACGAACACCCCUGAAACGCUGGACAAGGCACUCACGCGCCCCGGUCGUCUGGACACCACCAUCACCGUUGAUCCACCGGAUAUGAAAGGGCGCGCGGAGGUGGUUCAGGUGUACCUUGACAAAAUCAAGACAGACAGCACGGUCAAUGCAAUGGAUAUUGCACGCGGAACAACUGGCUUCACAGGUGCCGAGCUUAGCAACUUGGUGAAUCUGGCAGCCAUCAGGGCCGCGGUGCUGAACAAGGCGAAGGUGACCAGCGAAGAGAUAGAGUACGCUAAGGACCGCGUCAUGAUGGGUGCCGAGAGCAAGAAGAUUGUGCCGGAGGAGGAGCGUCGCGUGACCGCGUUCCACGAGGGCGGCCACGCUUUGAGCGCUAUCUUGCUGAAGGACGAGGGUGCCGAUCCUGUCCACAAGGCAACCAUCGUACCCCGCGGCAACGGCAUUAUGGGACUCGUCCAGCAGCAGCCGGACAGGGAUAAGUACAGUCAAAGCAAGCGCCAGUGCCUGGCUCGCCUGAAGGUGUGUGUGGCGGGACGAGUCGGCGAAGAGAUUCUUUUAGGCCCUGACGAUAUCACGACCGGCGCAGGCUCCGAUUUUCAGCAGGCCACCAACAUGGCCCGCCACAUGGUGCGACAGUUCGGGUUCAGCGACGCCAUGGGCUUCGUAGACUAUGGUACACCCGACACCGCCGAAGGCGCCUACAUUUCAGAUGAGACGAAGCUCAAAAUCGAAAAAGAGGUACAUCGCCUUGUUGAGCAGGCCUACAUCGAGACCAAGGAGCUUCUUCUGAGCCACCGCGCUGAGUUGGAGAGUAUCGCCAACAACCUACUCAAGUAUGAAACGCUCAGUGGCAAGGAUCUUGAGAAGAUUAUAAAGGGCGAGGCUAUCCCAGAGCGUCCUCCGCGCCUCUCACAGGCUGCAGAGAGCAAGGCCGCGCCGCCACGAGGCGGGAACAGCGACCAGGCAAACGGUCGGAGAACUGUUCCAAUCUCAUAGCAUUCUUGUGACAGAGCGGUGCUGAGCAUGGGAGCGCCUCAGGGCACCGCAAGCCCUCUCCGGUGCGUCGGAACGCACUGCGGCUCUUUUUGUCUCAGAGUCUGACGAUCCCUCUUGUGUGCGUGCGUGUAAUAAUUGGGCUUCCCUGUCUCCUAACCUUUUCACGCUCUCGCUUCUCGCUUUUCCCGAUGUUGUGUGCGUUGUUGCGUUUUUCCACAGUGGACAGCUUUGGGAACGCUGUUUCUGGUUUCCCAUUUUGCUGAGUAUGUUUUUUUUUUUCUCUUGCGUGCCCCAGAUUUCCUGUAUGUCUUGUGCAUGUCUACACGGUGUCUUCUGGCCUCUGGCGCUUAGCGUCCUUUUCCGAGACAUGCAGGGAAGAGAGCGCUCUUCUUUUCCCUUUCCAACAGGAAAAAUCCUGGGGAGCAUCUGAGGCACACAGGCCACAUUCCCAUUGGAAGAACCGCAGCUUGCCGCUUGAGCAUCGAACAGUCUGAUGAGCUAGCAGGAGUGUAGUAUACUUCGCCGGGGGAAGAAGCUGAGAAAUGCUUGUGGCAUUUCUAUCUUCCGGAAUUCUCUGCCGGUGCUAUUGUGUCUCUGUAAAGCAUGCUGUGCAUGUGGAAGUGCCGAGGAGGGCUUGGCGUCUUUGUGUUUCUUUUGUAUUACUCAGUCUAUUUCCACG
This 2713-nucleotide unclassified non-coding RNA is filed under the name Leishmania donovani. RNAcentral's name for it is "gene:LdHU3.36.3950(CDS-product:metallo-peptidase_ Clan_MA(E)_Family_M41)". The record is from RNAcentral. Lineage: Eukaryota; Euglenozoa; Kinetoplastea; Trypanosomatida; Trypanosomatidae.